RNAcentral lists this ribosomal RNA (546 nucleotides) under Psamathe fusca. Its description in RNAcentral is "partial 16S ribosomal RNA". It matches the Rfam family "Bacterial large subunit ribosomal RNA", at positions 1799 to 2620 of the family's 2925-position model. The record is from RNAcentral. Lineage: Eukaryota; Metazoa; Annelida; Polychaeta; Phyllodocida; Hesionidae.
CCUGUUUAUCAAAAACAUUGCCUCUUGAACACACAUAAGAGGUACGUCCUGCCCAGUGAACCAAGGUUUAAACGGCCGCGGUAUUCCUGACCGUGCAAAGGUAGCAUAAUCAUUCGCCUUUUAAUUGGAGGCUAGUAUGAAUGGAUAAACGAGGGACCCCCUGUCUCAAGAAAUAAAUAAAAAUUAACCUUCAGGUGAAGAUACCUGAAUUCUACUAAAAGACAAGAAGACCCUAUAGAGUUUUACUUCCAAGCCUAGAUUUAGAGACUCUAGUACCUAAACCCAGGACAGAGAAGUUUAGUUGGGGCGACUAAGGAACACUCAAACCUUCCUUAACCCAAAGAAAUUAAUUCGUUUUAAAGAUCCUUCUUAGAUCAAAAAAAUAACAUUACCUUAGGGAUAACAGGCUAAUCUCCCCAAAGAGUCCACAUUGACGGGGAGGGUUGGCACCUCGAUGUUGGCUUAAGACACCUAUUAAAUGCAGCAGUUUAAUAUAGUUGGUUUGUUCAACCAUUAAAGUCUUACGUGAUCUGAGUUCAGACCCGG